This 496-nucleotide ribosomal RNA is filed under the name uncultured bacterium. Its description in RNAcentral is "partial 16S ribosomal RNA". It matches the Rfam family "Bacterial small subunit ribosomal RNA", at positions 28 to 523 of the family's 1533-position model. The record is from RNAcentral.
GAUGAACGCUAGCGGCAGGCCUAACACAUGCAAGUCGAGGGGUAGGGUUAGCUUGCUAACUUGAGACCGGCGCACGGGUGCGUAACGCGUAUGCAAUCUACCUUGUACAGGGGGAUAGCCCAGGGAAAUUUGGAUUAAUACCCCAUGGUGUUAUGAUGUGGCAUCACAUUAUAACUAAAGUUCCAACGGUACAAGAUGAGCAUGCGUCCCAUUAGCUAGUUGGUGUGGUAACGGCAUACCAAGGCAAUGAUGGGUAGGGGUCCCGAGAGGGAGAGCCCCCACACUGGUACUGAGACGCGGACCAGACUCCUACGGGAGGCAGCAGUGAGGAAUAUUGGUCAAUGGGCGCAAGCCUGAACCAGCCAUGCCGCGUGCAGGAUGACGGUCCUAUGGAUUGUAAACUGCUUUUAUACGGGAAGAAACACUCCUACGUGUGGGAACUUGACGGUACCGUAAGAAUAAGGAUCGGCUAACUCCGUGCCAGCCGCCGCAGUAA